UACGGAGGGUGCAAGCGUUGUCCGGAUUUAUUGGGUUUAAAGGGUGCGUAGGCGGCCCGUUAAGUCAGUGGUGAAAGCCUCCAGCUCAACUGGAGAACUGCCAUUGAUACUGGCGGGCUUGAGUACAGACGAGGUAGGCGGAAUUGAUUGUGUAGCGGUGAAAUGCAUAGAUACAAUCAAGAACACCGAUUGCGAAGGCAGCUUACUAAGCUGUAACUGACGCUGAUGCACGAAAGCGUGGGGAUCGAACAGG
RNAcentral lists this ribosomal RNA (253 nucleotides) under uncultured bacterium. Its description in RNAcentral is "partial 16S ribosomal RNA". It matches the Rfam family "Bacterial small subunit ribosomal RNA", at positions 524 to 776 of the family's 1533-position model. The record is from RNAcentral.